Molecule: ribosomal RNA, 497 nt
Filed under: uncultured bacterium
Lineage: Bacteria
Description: partial 16S ribosomal RNA
Rfam family: Bacterial small subunit ribosomal RNA
Source: RNAcentral
GAUGAACGCUGGCGGCGUGCCUAAUACAUGCAAGUCGAGCGAACAGAUGAGGAGCUUGCUCCUCUGACGUUAGCGGCGGACGGGUGAGUAACACGUGGAUAACCUACCUAUAAGACUGGGAUAACUUCGGGAAACCGGAGCUAAUACCGGAUAAUAUAUUGAACCGCAUGGUUCAAUAGUGAAAGACGGUUUUGCUGUCACUUAUAGAUGGAUCCGCGCCGCAUUAGAUAGUUGGUAAGGUAACGGCUUACCAAGGCAACGAUGCGUAGCCGACCUGAGAGGGUGAUCGGCGACACUGGAACGGGAACGGGGUCCAGACUCCUACGGGAGGCAGCAGUAGGGAAUCGUACGCAAUGGGCGAAAGCCUGACGGAGCAACGCCGCGUGAGUGAUGAAGGUCUUCGGAUCGUAAAACUCUGUUAUUAGGGAAGAACAAAUGUGUAAGUAACUAUGCCCGUCUUGACGGUACCUAAUCAGAAAGCCACGGCUAACUACGUG